AUGGCGACGGCUGGCAGCGCAGGCGGCGACUGCGGCGGGUCUGCCGGCGUUGGAGACGAUGGUCCACCUGUGGGAGAUAUAUGCGGGAGCUCAAACCCUAGCUGGCCAUCGGAUACGAGCAGCCCCAGCCAGAGCCCCCAGCACUGUCUCGAAUAUGCGGCGGCAAGAUCUUGGGCCAGGGCAGUGAAGGAGAAUCCGUCGGAGGGUCACAGGAUUGCCUCGUCAUUCGGCGGCGUCUAUUUGAAUGAUGAUGUUUGGGAAGUUAGAAUGCACUUCCAUGACAGAGACAAUUUGGAGAGAUCAGUUUGCAUUUCAGACGUAACAUAUUAUAAUUUGGUUGCCCUAAUAGAGACAGAGGGAUAUGGGCUUAAUGAUUUCAUGUAUUUUGUGAGGGAUCCUGGUGUGGGGAUUACAGGAAUGGAUGAAAUUUGUGAUGAUGAUAAGGUGGAUGAAAUGCUUGACCAUAUUGCUAACAAUGAUCAGCAUGUAGUGAACUUGACAGUGGUUAGGGGCACUGAUCCAAGACCUGCAGAUUUGAACUCAGGCUAUCUGGUUGAGGAGCAGGUUCCUUUGAGCCAUAUAGGAGAGAAUCCUGUGUAUGUAGUAAAUCCUUCUGGUGUUUUCUUAAGAUCACCACCAAAAAGUAUAAUACAGAGUCAGCCAAAGCCAUUGCAGUUCUACACUACACAGCAGAGCACAAACCAUGAUCUGGAUACAAAUGCUGCCAUGGACCAAUCCAAUGCAGCAGAUCAGGCUGAACUGGAGACAUUAAUGGAGUUGAAGAGGAGAACAAAGAUUGCCAAAUUUAGGAAACAUAAGAUUGCAGCUGAGCAUGUAAAUAAGGUUAAGAAGAAGCUACCAAUUCUUCUAACUGGAGAUGAUUCAGAUCUGGAUGCAGAUGAGGACUAUCUUCAGAGGCUUAAUGAGAUGAGGAAGCAAAGAGAGGAUCCACUCAUUCAUUUUGAUGGAGACACUGAUGUGGAUGAACUAUAUGAGGAAGAUGAGGAAGGGCAACAUGUGGAGGUGGAGCAAGAGGAGCAGGUGGAGCAAGAUGAGCAGGUGGAGCACGAAGAGGUGCCUACAAAGAAGAAGAAAGCUAGAAAAGGGCCAACAGAGAGGUCACAUUCUAGCUUGGAACAGAGAUUUGAGGAUGUUUGGGCACCAUCAUCAGAUGAGGAGCCAGAUCUUGGUGUUUUGAAGCAGGAAUAUGAUGAUGGAGCCGAGGAAGUACAAUUUGUUCUGCCCAAUGGAAGGAAGAGCAGAUCAGUGAGAUCUUUGCCAAGGAUCUGGUACAGUGAGGAGAGAGAGAACCCAGAGGAGCAGUUUUGCAGAAAACUUUGUUUCCUAAAUGUGUAUCAGUUUAGGAGAGCAAUUCAGACAUUGCACAUAACUCAUAAUAGGAAUUAUGAGUUCCACAGAAACUGCAAUGACAGCAUCAUAGUUGUGUGCAUAAAUGCAAAAUGCCCUUUCUUUAUUGCAACUUUGUUUGUUGCAAAUGAGACUACUUUUUGCAUAAGGAAGGCAAAUUUUGUGCACACAUGCCCAACAGUAGGAGAGAACACCAAGGUCACUGCAAAAUGGGUUGCACACCAGUGUGAGGCAAUGAUGAGAGUUGAUAUUGGCACACCAGUCACCACAAUAAUGCAGACACUGAAGAAGAACUAUGGAAUAGAGAUGUCCACCCAUAUGGCCUACAGGGCUAGGAAGCAAGCAUUGAAGGUUGUCCAAGGAGAUCAGAGAGGACAAUACACUAGAAUAAGAGAUUAUUUGCAGGCUGUGUUGGAUACAAACCCAGGCUCUAGAUGUAUUGUUACUACUAGGCAUGUACCAGAGCACCCAAGCAAAAACCCUAGGUUUCAUGGCCUCUUUUUCUGUCUAAGUGCUUGCAAAGAAGGGUUUUUGAAUGGAUGCAGACCAUUCAUAGGGGUAGAUGGUUGUUUUAUCAAGCUGUCAACAGGUCAACAGAUCCUUGCUGCAACAGGAAGGGAUGGGAACAAUAAUAUCUACCCUAUAGCAUUUGGAGUUGUUGACAAAGAGGACAAAGACAGCUGGACCUGGUUCUUAACACAGCUUAAAGAUGCACUUGGUGGAGAAAGUGGGAAGUUUGGUUAUUAUACCAUCAUCUCUGAUAGGCAGAAGGUAAACUUCUCUUCUCAUACAAUAUUGCACUAG
RNAcentral lists this ribosomal RNA (2172 nucleotides) under Triticum aestivum (bread wheat). Its description in RNAcentral is "partial small subunit ribosomal RNA". The record is from RNAcentral. Lineage: Eukaryota; Viridiplantae; Streptophyta; Magnoliopsida; Poales; Poaceae.